UACGGAGGGUGCAAGCAUCAAUCGGAUUUAUUGGGCGUAAAAGGCGCGUAGGCGGUAAGAAAAGUCAGAUGUGAAAUCCCGGGGCUCAACCCCGGAACAGCAUUUGAAACUCCCAUUCUAGAGGGUAGGCGGAGAAAACGGAAUUCCACAAGUAGCGGUGAAAUGCGUAGAUAUGUGGAGGAAUACCGAUGGCGAAGGCAGCCCCCUGGGAUAACACUGACGCUGAGGCGCGAAAGCGUGGGGAUCAAACAGG
This 253-nucleotide ribosomal RNA is filed under the name uncultured bacterium. Its description in RNAcentral is "partial 16S ribosomal RNA". It matches the Rfam family "Bacterial small subunit ribosomal RNA", at positions 524 to 776 of the family's 1533-position model. The record is from RNAcentral.